AGAUUGAACGCUGGCGGCAGGCCUAACACAUGCAAGUCGAGCGGUAGAGAGGUGCUUGCAUCUCUUGAGAGCGGCGGACGGGUGAGUAAUGCCUAGGAAUCUGCCUAGUGGUGGGGGAUAACGUUCGGAAACGGACGCUAAUACCGCAUACGUCCUACGGGAGAAAGCCGGGGGACCUUCGGGCCUCGCGCCAUUAGAUGAGCCUAGGUCGGAUUAGCUAGUUGGUGAGGUAAUGGCUCACCAAGGCGACGAUCCGUAACUGGUCUGAGAGGAUGAUCAGUCACACUGGAACUGAGACACGGU
This 303-nucleotide ribosomal RNA is filed under the name uncultured soil bacterium. Its description in RNAcentral is "bacterial SSU rRNA". It matches the Rfam family "Bacterial small subunit ribosomal RNA", at positions 26 to 330 of the family's 1533-position model. The record is from RNAcentral.